CCUACGGGAGGCAGCAGUAGGGAAUAUUGCGCAAUGGACGAAAGUCUGACGCAGCCACGCCGCGUGAGUGAGGAAGGCCUUCGGGUUGUAAAGCUCUGUCAGCUGGGAAAAACAGGCAAGAGGGGAAAGUUCUCUUGCUUUGAUGGUACCAGCGAAGGAAGCACCGGCAAACUCUGUGCCAGCAGCCGCGGUAAUACAGAGGGUGCAAGCGUUGUUCGGAAUUACUGGGCGUAAAGCGUGCGUAGUCGGUAUUGAGAGUCGCGGGUGAAAUCCCAGGGCUUAACCCUGGAACUGCCUGCGAGACCUCAGUACUAGAGUGUGAGAGGGGAUAGUGGAAUACCCAGUGUAGCGGUGAAAUGCGUAGAGAUUGGGUGGAACACCGGUGGCGAAGGCGGCUAUCUGGCUCACAACUGACGAUCAGGCACGAAAGCAUGGGGAGCAAACAGGAUUAGAUACCCUGGUAGUCCAUGCCGUAAACUAUGCAUACAAGCUGUAGUGGGGUUUUUCUCCUGCUGUGGCGAAGCUAACGCAAUUAGUAUGCCGCCUGGGGAGUACGGUCGCAAGACUAAAACUCAAAUGAAUUGACGG
This 588-nucleotide ribosomal RNA is filed under the name uncultured bacterium. Its description in RNAcentral is "bacterial SSU rRNA". It matches the Rfam family "Bacterial small subunit ribosomal RNA", at positions 338 to 916 of the family's 1533-position model. The record is from RNAcentral.